This 467-nucleotide ribosomal RNA is filed under the name Troglocaris sp. A FD-2005. RNAcentral's name for it is "partial 16S ribosomal RNA". It matches the Rfam family "Bacterial large subunit ribosomal RNA", at positions 1929 to 2607 of the family's 2925-position model. Lineage: Eukaryota; Metazoa; Arthropoda; Malacostraca; Decapoda; Atyidae. The record is from RNAcentral.
GGCCGCGGUACUAACCGGGCUAGGUAGCAUAAUCAAUAGUCUAUUACUUGGGGUCUAGAAUGAAGGGUCGGACGAAAGAUUAUCUGUCUUAUAAAAAUAAAGAAUUUUACUUUUAAGUGAAAAGGCUUAAAUGAAAUAAUGGGACGAUAAGACCCUGUGAAGUUUGAAUAAAUAUAGAGUAAAAAUCUAACUAUAUAGUUAUUAGUAUUUAUUUUGUAUUAAAUUUAGCUGGGGCGGCUAGAAUAUAAAUGUUUAACUGUUUGUGAAAAGAAAAUAAAGUUAAUUAGUGAAUUUUAUCCUUUAAUAAGGAACAAAAAUUUAAACUACUCCAGGGAUAACAGCGUAAUUCUUCUUGAGAGUUCUUAUCGACAGAAAUAGUUGCGACCUCGAUGUUGAAUUAAAAUUUCAUUAAUGCGGAGAAGCUUUAAUUAUGGGUCUGUUCGACCUUAAAAAUUUUACGUGAUCUG